CUAGCGAUAGGCUUAACACAUGCAAGUCGAGGGGCAGCAUGAUCUUAGCUUGCUAAGGUCGAUGGCGACCGGCGCACGGGUGCGUAACACGUAUGCAACUUGCCUUACAGAGGGGGAUAACCCGUUGAAAGACGGACUAAAACCGCAUACACUUGUAUUAUUGCAUGAUAUUACAAGGAAAUAUUAUAGCUGUAAGAUAGGCAUGCGUCCCAUUAGCUAGUUGGUGAGGUAACGGCUCACCAAGGCGACGAUGGGUAGGGGAACUGAGAGGUUCAUCCCCCACACUGGUACUGAGACACGGACCAGACUCCUACGGGAGGCAGCAGUGAGGAAUAUUGGUCAAUGGGCGAGAGCCUGAACCAGCCAAGUCGCGUGAAGGAAGACAGUCCUAAGGAUUGUAAGCUUCUUUUAUACGGGAAUAACGGGCGAUACGAGUAUUGCAUUGAAUGUACCGUAAGAAUAAGCAUCGGCUAACUCCGUGCCAGCAGCCGCGGUAAUACGGAGGAUGCGAGCGUUAUCCGGAUUUAUUGGGUUUAAAGGGUGCGUAGGUUGUUCGGUAAGUCAGCGGUGAAACCUGAACGCUCAACGUUCAGCCUGCCGUUGAAACUGCCGGGCUUGAGUUCAGCGGCGGCAGGCGGAAUUCGUGGUGUAGCGGUGAAAUGCAUAGAUAUCACGAGGAACUCCGAUUGCGAAGGCAGCUUGCCAUACUGCGACUGACACUGAAGCACGAAGGCGUGGGUAUCAAACAGGAUUAGAUACCCUGGUAGUCCACGCAGCUAAACGAUGAUUACUAGGAAGUUUGCGGAUAUACCCGUUCCAAGCUUUCCACCAAGCGGAAAAGCCGUUUAAAGUAAAUCCACCCCUGGGGGAG
This 871-nucleotide ribosomal RNA is filed under the name Porphyromonas gingivalis. RNAcentral's name for it is "bacterial SSU rRNA". It matches the Rfam family "Bacterial small subunit ribosomal RNA", at positions 36 to 873 of the family's 1533-position model. Lineage: Bacteria; Pseudomonadati; Bacteroidota; Bacteroidia; Bacteroidales; Porphyromonadaceae. The record is from RNAcentral.